Molecule: ribosomal RNA, 488 nt
Filed under: uncultured bacterium
Lineage: Bacteria
Description: bacterial SSU rRNA
Rfam family: Bacterial small subunit ribosomal RNA
Source: RNAcentral
AACGAACGCUGGCGGCGCGCCUAACACAUGCAAGUCGAACGAGAAUCCGGGGCAACCCGGUAGUAAAGUGGCAAACGGGUGAGGAAUACAUGGGUAACCUACCCUUGAGAAGGGAAUAACCCGCCGAAAGGUGAGCUAAUACCCUAUACGCUAUCUUUUUUUCGAAAAGGAUAGGAAAGCCGGGUCGAGGACCUGGUACUCAAGGAGGGGCUCAUGUCCUAUCAGCUUGUUGGUGGGGUAACGGCCUACCAAGGCUACGACGGGUAGCUGGUCUGAGAGGAUGAUCAGCCACACUGGCACUGAGAUACGGGCCAGACUCCUACGGGAGGCAGCAGUGAGGAAUAUUGCGCAAUGGGCGAAAGCCUGAAGCAGCAACGCCGCGUGUGCGAUGAAGGCCUUCGGUCGUAAAGCACUUUCUAAGAGAUGAGAAAGGACGAGUAUCUUAGGUAAUAAGUACUCGGCUAACUACGUGCCAGCAGCCGCGGUAA